GGCACAUUUCCAGCUUGGCACUUAAAUUAAUACAGUUUUAAAAUAUUAGUCUGGAACUUGAGAUCUGGCAGUACCUACCUCUAACUCAGACUUUUUCAUCAGCUUAAGUGAGCUGGCUGGUACCAGUUUCUCACAGCAGGCAACCAGAAGUCAUGGCAGCUCAGGAAAAUCUUAAUUAAAUGGCUUAAGAGUGAGAAUCUCAAUAUCAGAAGGUGCCAGCUCACUGCCACCAAGCAGCUCCCCGAAGUCUGAUGGAGCAGCAAAGCCAACAACCUCAACACCUAGGCUGGGCCCUCAGUAUUUUGCACAGGAAGCAGGUGUCUUCAGAGGAAAAGGUCUGAGCCAAAAAGCUGGUUUAUAUCUG
Gallus gallus (chicken) is the source of this 364-nucleotide long non-coding RNA. The record is from Ensembl. Lineage: Eukaryota; Metazoa; Chordata; Aves; Galliformes; Phasianidae.